RNAcentral lists this ribosomal RNA (468 nucleotides) under uncultured bacterium. RNAcentral's name for it is "partial 16S ribosomal RNA". It matches the Rfam family "Bacterial small subunit ribosomal RNA", at positions 28 to 507 of the family's 1533-position model. The record is from RNAcentral.
GACGAACGCUGGCGGCGUGCUUAACACAUGCAAGUCGAACGGAAAGGCCCUGCUUUUGUGGGGUGCUCGAGUGGCGAACGGGUGAGUAGCACGUGAGUAACCUGCCCUUGACCUUGGGAUAACUUCAGGAAACUGGGGCUAAUACCGGAUAGGAGCUCCUGCUGCAUGGUGGGGGUUGGAAAUUUUCGGCGGUUGGGGAUGGACUCGCGGCUUAUCAGCUUGUUGGUGGGGUAGUGGCUUACCAAGGCUUUGACGGGUAGCCGGCCUGAGAGGGUGACCGGCGACAUUGGGACUGAGAGACGGCCCAGACUCCUACGGGAGGCAGCAGUGGGGAAUAUUGCACAAUGGGCGGAAGCCUGAGGCAGCAACGCCGCGUGCGGGAUGACGGCCUUCGGGUUGUAAACCGCUUUCGCCUGUGACGAAGCGUGAGUGACGGUAAUGGGUAAAGAAGCACCGGCUAACUACGUG